GCACGAGGGUCCUUCGGGAUGCCGGCGAGCGGCGGACGGGUGAGUAAUGCCUAGGAAUCUGCCUGGUAGUGGGGGAUAACUCGGGGAAACUCGAGCUAAUACCGCAUACGUCCUACGGGAGAAAGCGGGGGAUCUUCGGACCUCGCGCUACCAGAUGAGCCUAGGUCGGAUUAGCUAGUUGGUGAGGUAAAGGCUCACCAAGGCGACGAUCCGUAGCUGGUCUGAGAGGAUGAUCAGCCACACUGGAACUGAGACACGGUCCAGACUCCUACGGGAGGCAGCAGUGGUCAUAG
This 293-nucleotide ribosomal RNA is filed under the name Pseudomonas sp. KB2. RNAcentral describes it as "partial 16S ribosomal RNA". It matches the Rfam family "Bacterial small subunit ribosomal RNA", at positions 69 to 357 of the family's 1533-position model. Lineage: Bacteria; Pseudomonadati; Pseudomonadota; Gammaproteobacteria; Pseudomonadales; Pseudomonadaceae. The record is from RNAcentral.